Molecule: ribosomal RNA, 828 nt
Filed under: uncultured soil bacterium
Lineage: Bacteria
Description: bacterial SSU rRNA
Rfam family: Bacterial small subunit ribosomal RNA
Source: RNAcentral
AGAGUUUGAUCCUGGCUCAGAAUCAACGCUGGCGGCGCGCUUAACACAUGCAAGUCGCACGAGAAAGCAGUAGCAAUACUGUGAGUAAAGUGGCGUACGGGUGAGUAACACGUGGAUCAUCUACCUUUUAGUGGGGAAUACCUCCUGGAAACGGGAGACAAUACCGCAUAAGCUCGUAAGAGGAAAGCAGCAAUGCGCUGAAAGAAGAGUCCGCGGCUGAUUAGCUAGUUGGCGGGGUAACGGCCCACCAAGGCGAAGAUCGGUAGCCGGCCUGAGAGGGCACACGGCCACACUGGCACUGAAACACGGGCCAGACUCCUACGGGAGGCAGCAGUGGGGAAUCUUGCACAAUGGAGGAAACUCUGAUGCAGCGACGCCGCGUGAGCGAUGAAGCCCUUCGGGGUGUAAAGCUCUUUCAACGGGAACGAUAAUGACGGUACCCGAAGAAGAAGCUGCGGCUAACUACGUGCCAGCAGCCGCGGUAAUACGUAGGCAGCAAGCGUUGUUCGGAAUUACUGGGCGUAAAGAGUGUGUAGGCGGUGUUCUAAGUCUGUCGUGAAAUCUCCCGGCUUAACUGGGAGGGUGCGGCGGAAACUGGAGUGCUAGAGGAUGGGAGAGGUAAGCGGAAUUCCUGGUGUAGCGGUGAAAUGCGUAGAUAUCAGGAGGAACACCUGUGGUGUAGACAGCUUACUGGACCAUUUCUGACGCUGAGACACGAAAGCGUGGGUAGCAAACAGGAUUAGAUACCCUGGUAGUCCACGCCCUAAACGAUGCAUACUUGGUGUGAGCGAUUCAUUUCGUUCGUGCCGGAGCUAACGCGUUAAGUAU